AUAUAAAGAGCGAGAAGAAUUUGCGUGCGGUUUCGGCCCGUAUUUUAAGGUAGUUAAUCCUUUUUAUAUU
RNAcentral lists this transfer RNA (70 nucleotides) under Pila virens. RNAcentral describes it as "tRNA-Arg". Lineage: Eukaryota; Metazoa; Mollusca; Gastropoda; Architaenioglossa; Ampullariidae. The record is from RNAcentral.